This 313-nucleotide long non-coding RNA is filed under the name Capsella rubella. RNAcentral's name for it is "long non-coding RNA (CRUB_LNC001937)". Lineage: Eukaryota; Viridiplantae; Streptophyta; Magnoliopsida; Brassicales; Brassicaceae. The record is from RNAcentral.
AAAAAAAAAAAAAAGAAUGGUAUGGCCAUGUGUUUGUGUUCUAUGGACUAUGGACUGUGUGUGGGUGGACUUUAGUUUAGUCCCCAUUUAUUUAUUUAUUUUUAUUUUAUUUUUUUUCCCAUUUAAUUAUGGGGAUCGGUACAAAUUAAAUAGGAAGUAGAGCAUGGGAUACAUACAAGUGACCGAUCCGGCCUUUGUCAUGUCUCUACUACGUUUAGAUCGAAAUUAAACCAUAUUUGCUUCUAUUUAUACAAAUUAUACUAUACUUCCACAAAAACUGAAAAGAAGAUACUACAGUCCCAAUCAUCUCUGU